This 404-nucleotide ribosomal RNA is filed under the name Fusobacteriota bacterium. Its description in RNAcentral is "Fusobacteria bacterium partial 16S ribosomal RNA". It matches the Rfam family "Bacterial small subunit ribosomal RNA", at positions 355 to 776 of the family's 1533-position model. Lineage: Bacteria; Fusobacteriati; Fusobacteriota. The record is from RNAcentral.
UGGGGAAUAUUGCACAAUGGAGGGAACUCUGAUGCAGCGACGCCGCGUGAGUGAUGAAGGAAUUCGUUUCGUAAAACUCUGUUCUAUGGGAAGAAAAGGACUGUACCAUAGGAGAAAGCUCCGGCUAAAUACGUGCCAGCAGCCGCGGUAAUACGUAUGGAGCGAGCGUUGUCCGGAAUUAUUGGGCGUAAAGGGCUUGUAGGCGGCUUGUUGCGCCUGCUGUGAAAACGCGGGGCUUAACUUCGCGCGUGCAGUGGGUACGGGCAGGCUUGAGUGUGGUAGGGGUGACUGGAAUUCCAGGUGUAGCGGUGGAAUGCGCAGCUAUCUGGAGGAACACCGAUGGCGAAGGCAGGUCACUGGGCCAUUACUGACGCUGAGGAGCGAAAGCAUGGGUAGCGAACAGG